This 82-nucleotide transfer RNA is filed under the name Ostreobium quekettii. RNAcentral describes it as "tRNA-Leu". It matches the Rfam family "tRNA". From Rfam's summary of the family: Transfer RNA (tRNA) molecules are approximately 80 nucleotides in length. Their secondary structure includes four short double-helical elements and three loops (D, anti-codon, and T loops). The record is from RNAcentral. Lineage: Eukaryota; Viridiplantae; Chlorophyta; Ulvophyceae; Bryopsidales; Ostreobiaceae.
GCUCUUGUGGCGAAAUUGGUAAACGCAAUGGUCCGAGGAGCCAUCUUUAAUUGAUUGAUGGGUUCAAGUCCCAUCGAGAGCA